This 936-nucleotide long non-coding RNA is filed under the name Nicotiana benthamiana. RNAcentral describes it as "long non-coding RNA (NBEN_LNC003746)". Lineage: Eukaryota; Viridiplantae; Streptophyta; Magnoliopsida; Solanales; Solanaceae. The record is from RNAcentral.
GAAAUCAAUAUACAUUAUUUAUGCAGGCUUCUAAUAUUGAAAAUACAUGCUGGACAUUUAGACGGACUUAGGAACGAACUCGAUUUGUAUAUCAAAUUAUACGAUUAUACACACGAGCUGUUCCAAUUCUACUGACUUCAACUAACACUGCAUUUCACAUGUCUAGAUUACAAACACUUCAUUUAUACAUUUUACUUCUGAAUCUGAUUAUUUAUAGGGCCUAUUGCAUUCACAUAUUCAUAAUAGGAUUUCAAAUCACUUCAAUAGUCCAAUUAAUUCUAACUAAUGUUCAAUCUAACACGAGUCCUAAAUCCAACACUUCAUACAACAAUUCGAAUGAAAAAACUGUGUUACCAACGUGAAAAUACAAGUAUUACACAUUCAUUACAAUAAUCAAUCUUCCAAACGGUAAAACAGACAAAGAGGAGCUCAAAUCCAACUUCUAUUUCAAUUCAACUCAAAGCUACAUCAGGACUGUUCACAAGUGUACCUGGAAAUUGAAGCAAAAUAAGAGAAAGGAGGAAACCAGCUGGGUAGUAGAACAACAACAACAAUUUCAACUCUAAAAAAAACUAGGAAGAAGAUCAAUAGUCCAAAUAGAAUAGAAGGAUUGACCAAAUCCACACCAAAGAAAGCCAAAUGAAUUCAAAUGCAUCCAGAAACUCCAGUAAACAUCAAAACAACCAAAAACCAGUUCAAUUUAUCCGAAACUUCUUAAUACCAAAACAACGUGAUCCAGAAACAAUAAUGACCAAUGGAGAAACAAUAUCGAAUAAAAGUAGAUCAAAAACCCAAUGGAACGGUAUAUUUUUGCAUUUAUCUCAUUUUUCUGUUUUUAGAUCGUUUUUUUUUUGGUUUUCGAGAUUCAAAUUCCUACUCUAGAUCUGAAGAGAGACUAGUCUAAGAGAGAAUUUGGAAUUAGAAAUGACAAGAAAA